This 183-nucleotide unclassified non-coding RNA is filed under the name uncultured Ascomycota. RNAcentral describes it as "sequence contains ITS2". Lineage: Eukaryota; Fungi; Ascomycota. The record is from RNAcentral.
CACCACUCAAGCCUCGCUUGGUAUUGGGCGAUAGGGCCUCCCUACGCCUCAAUUUCGCCGGCUGGACCGAACGUAUCUCAGCGUUGUGACAUCAAAUUUCGCUGGAAAAUACGGGAGGUUCGCGGCCGCAAACAACCCGGACACGCCGACUUUUGAUGGGAAGCGGCGAAGAAAGUCCAACCA